AAGGAGAAGCUCUGGGAACCUGGAUUGGAGUGCGUUUCAGGGGCGUCUCCCUGAAAACCCCAGAAGGAGGCGGCGACGGCUCAGCCUGGGACUGACAGGAGCAUGGGGCGGGAAGGGCGGGUUGCCCCGGGCCUCUUACUCGAGUCUGGCCGGGAAUGGAGUCCAAAGCUUUUCAGCCAAGCCGACGUUAAGCAACAGUCAAGGUAGUUGCAGUGUUAUAAAGAAGUCGCGCGUUUU
This 237-nucleotide long non-coding RNA is filed under the name Sus scrofa (pig). RNAcentral describes it as "WT1 antisense RNA conserved region 3 (ENSSSCG00070004038.1)". It matches the Rfam family "WT1 antisense RNA conserved region 3". Lineage: Eukaryota; Metazoa; Chordata; Mammalia; Artiodactyla; Suidae. The record is from RNAcentral.